This 403-nucleotide ribosomal RNA is filed under the name uncultured bacterium. RNAcentral's name for it is "partial 16S ribosomal RNA". It matches the Rfam family "Bacterial small subunit ribosomal RNA", at positions 28 to 526 of the family's 1533-position model. The record is from RNAcentral.
GACGAACGCUGGCGGCGUGCCUAAUACAUGCAAGUCGAACGCAGUGGGGACGGGUGAGUAACACGUGGGUAACCUCCCAUCAGAGGGGAUAACACUUGGAAACAGGUGCUAAACCGAUACUGAUGGAUGAACCCGCGGUGAAUUAGCUAGUUGGUGAGGUAACGGCUCACCAAGGCCACGAAGCAUAGCGUGCCUGAGAGGGUGAUCGGCCCCACUUGAACUGAGUCACGGCCCAGACUCCUGCGGGCGGCACCCGUUGGGCAUCUGCGGCAAUGGACGAAAGUCUGACCGCUGACCGCCGCGUGAGUGAAGAAGUUUUUCGGAUAGUAAAACUCUGUUGUUAGAGCAACGGUCUCUUUUCAGAAAGCCCCUGCUAACUACGUGCCAGCAGCCGCGGUAAUUC